AUAGUCCUUCAACCAAUCAGACCAACGCUCCGGGUGACGUAGCAGCGCCACCUUUGAAAAAUGGG
Long non-coding RNA from Etheostoma spectabile (orangethroat darter), 65 nucleotides. RefSeq lists it as uncharacterized. NCBI's taxonomy places the organism in Eukaryota, Metazoa, Chordata, Actinopteri, Perciformes, Percidae. The record is from RefSeq and is a predicted model, not a curated record. The transcript is spliced from 3 exons.